UGGGGAAUUUUGCACAAUGGGGGAAACCCUGGUGCAGCGACGCCGCGUGAUUUAGAAGGCCUUCGGGUUGUAAAAAUCUUUUCUAUGGGAAGAAAAUGACAGUACCAUAGGAAUAAGGACCGGCUAAUUACGUGCCAGCAGCCGCGGUAAUACGUAAGGUCCGAGCGUUGUCCGGAAUCAUUGGGCGUAAAGGGUACGUAGGCGGGUAAGCAAGUUAGAAGUGAAAUCCUAUAGCUCAACUAUAGUAAGCUUUUAAAACUGCUCAUCUUGAGGUAUGGAAGGGAAAGUGGAAUUCCUAGUGUAGCGGUGAAAUGCGCAGAUAUUAGGAGGAAUACCGGUGGCGAAGGCGACUUUCUGGCCAUAACCUGACGCUGAGGUACGAAAGCGUGGGUAGCAAACAGG
Molecule: ribosomal RNA, 402 nt
Filed under: bacterium
Lineage: Bacteria
Description: partial 16S ribosomal RNA
Rfam family: Bacterial small subunit ribosomal RNA
Source: RNAcentral